UACGUAGGGUGCAAGCGUUAAUCGGAAUUACUGGGCGUAAAGCGCGCGUAGGUGGUUUGUUAAGUUGAAUGUGAAAUCCCCGGGCUCAACCUGGGAACUGCAUCCAAAACUGGCAAGCUAGAGUAUGGUAGAGGGUGGUGGAAUUUCCUGUGUAGCGGUGAAAUGCGUAGAUAUAGGAAGGAACACCAGUGGCGAAGGCGACCACCUGGACUGAUACUGACACUGAGGUGCGAAAGCGUGGGGAGCAAACAGG
This 253-nucleotide ribosomal RNA is filed under the name uncultured bacterium. RNAcentral's name for it is "partial 16S ribosomal RNA". It matches the Rfam family "Bacterial small subunit ribosomal RNA", at positions 524 to 776 of the family's 1533-position model. The record is from RNAcentral.